AGGCACGUAGCUCAGGGGUCUAGAGCACCGCCUUGACAUGGCGGGGGUCGGCGGUUCAAUUCCGCCCGUGCCUACCA
RNAcentral lists this transfer RNA (77 nucleotides) under Pseudomonadota bacterium. Its description in RNAcentral is "Proteobacteria bacterium (marine metagenome) tRNA-Val". It matches the Rfam family "tRNA". From Rfam's summary of the family: Transfer RNA (tRNA) molecules are approximately 80 nucleotides in length. Their secondary structure includes four short double-helical elements and three loops (D, anti-codon, and T loops). Further hydrogen bonds mediate the characteristic L-shaped molecular structure. tRNAs have two regions of fundamental functional importance: the anti-codon, which is responsible for specific mRNA codon recognition, and the 3' end, to which the tRNAs corresponding amino acid is attached (by aminoacyl-tRNA synthetases). tRNAs cope with the degeneracy of the genetic code in two manners: having more than one tRNA (with a specific anti-codon) for a particular amino acid; and 'wobble' base-pairing, i.e. permitting non-standard base-pairing at the 3rd anti-codon position. The record is from RNAcentral. Lineage: Bacteria; Pseudomonadati; Pseudomonadota. RNAcentral also lists the same sequence under 1 other name.